UCGAGAAUCUUCCACAAUGGACGAAAGUCUGAUGGAGCGACGCCGCGUGAUCGAUGAAGUGCUUCGGUAUGUAAAGAUCUUUUAUGUGGGAUGAAAUUAUUGACAGUACCACAUGAAUAAGGGGCUCCUAACUCUGUGCCAGCAGGAGCGGUAAUACAGAGGCCCCAAGCGUUAUCCGGAAUCACUGGGCGUAAAGGGUGUCGAGGCGGUUGUAUUAGUCGUUCGUAAAAUCUACGAGCUUAACUUGUAGGCGGCGAACGAAACGGUACGACUUGAGGUUUGGAGAGGUGCGUGGAACUCACGGUGUAGGGGUGAAAUCCGUUGAUAUCGUGGGGAACACCAAAGGCGAAGGCAGCGCACUGGCCAAAAUCUGACGCUCACACACGAAAGCUAGGGUAGCGAAGAGGAUUAGAUACCCAAGUAGUCCCUGAGCGGGCUGGCAAGGCGCAU
RNAcentral lists this ribosomal RNA (450 nucleotides) under uncultured bacterium. RNAcentral describes it as "bacterial SSU rRNA". It matches the Rfam family "Bacterial small subunit ribosomal RNA", at positions 355 to 825 of the family's 1533-position model. The record is from RNAcentral.